AAGCCCUUGGGUUUAGUCCAAAUGGCGCGUGAGGAAUAUAUAUAUAUAUAUAUAUAUAUAUAUAUAUAUAUAUAUAUUUGGAAAGUUACUUUUCUCUUUGUAAUGAAGAAUAUCAAUGGAAUUCUGCUGCUUCUGAUUGGAUUAAGGCUAAUAGUGAUUCUGUUAAGGAGGCUGAUAGAGUACAGGCUUUUUUUGCUUGGAACCCUCCUGAACUUGGCCAAUUAAAACUGAAUGUGGAAUGGCUCUGGGAAGAGUGCCUCAGGUCUUAUUGGAGCAGGAGGGGUUAUUCGCGAUUCCGAUGGUGUUUGGAUUGCUGGCUUUGCUGUGAACUUGGGUCAAGGCCAGAUUUUGGAGGUUGAGGUUUGGGGAUUAUAUUUUGGGCUUUAGUUGGCCUUGGUCAAAGGUAUCUCUAAUCUUCUUGUUGAGAUGGAUGCUGCAAUUGCUGUGUCUCUUGUUCAGCAAAUUGGUACAUUGAAUUGUCACCCUCUUGUUGUGUUGGUGGAUAGCAGUUGUGUUCUUAUGAGGGGUAUUGGAAACUGUCACCUUGCUCAUGUUUAUAGAGAAUAGAAUUUUGUAGCA
Molecule: long non-coding RNA, 579 nt
Filed under: Prunus dulcis (almond)
Lineage: Eukaryota; Viridiplantae; Streptophyta; Magnoliopsida; Rosales; Rosaceae
Description: sRNA ncRNA
Source: RNAcentral